GCUGUGUAAGUGCUAUUUGACCAAGGAGGAGACUGAUGGAGUGCUGCUGCAGAUGACCUGGCCUCCACAGUCAGCUGGACCUGAACCUCAUUGAGAUGUUUUGGGGAUUCACUUCCACAUGUGAAGGAGCUGCUGAUGUGGGAGUGAUCUGUUCUGCAGGUCACAGUCAGGUUACAGAAGUUUGAGCUGUUAAAGACUGAAUCCACGUUCAGAAGAACUGGAGACACUGGAUCUGAGGAGGAAAUGACACACCAACAAAGUCAAACAAACACAGAUAAUCUGCUCUUUAGAUGUGAGAGAAAACAAAGAGAUUUACCUUCAACUGUGACGUUGUAUUCUGCUACAACUUCAUCUUUAUCAAAUGAUCUUAUUACUGAAUAAACUCCACUGAAGGAU
Molecule: long non-coding RNA, 396 nt
Organism: Oryzias melastigma (Indian medaka)
Lineage: Eukaryota; Metazoa; Chordata; Actinopteri; Beloniformes; Adrianichthyidae
Exons: 2
Source: RefSeq, a predicted model, not a curated record